GAUGAACGCUGGCGGCGUGCCUAAUACAUGCAAGUCGAGCGAAUGGAUUGAGAGCUUGCUCUUAUGAAGUUAGCGGCGGACGGGUGAGUAACACGUGGGUAACCUGCCCAUAAGACUGGGAUAACUCCGGGAAACCGGGGCUAAUACCGGAUAACAUUUUGAACCGCAUGGUUCGAAAUUGAAAGGCGGCUUCGGCUGUCACUUAUGGAUGGACCCGCGUCGCAUUAGCUAGUUGGUGAGGUAACGGCUCACCAAGGCAACGAUGCGUAGCCGACCUGAGAGGGUGAUCGGCCACACUGGGACUGAGAAACGGCCCAGACUCCUACGGGAGGCAGCAGUAGGGAAUCUUCCGCAAUGGACGAAAGUCUGACGGAGCAACGCCGCGUGAGUGACGAAGGCUUUCGGGUCGUAAAACUCUGUUGUUAGGGAAGAACAAGUGCUAGUUGAAUAAGCUGGCACCUUGACGGUACCUAACCAGAAAGCCGCGGCUAACUACGUGCCAGCCGCCGCCGUAA
Molecule: ribosomal RNA, 515 nt
Filed under: uncultured bacterium
Lineage: Bacteria
Description: partial 16S ribosomal RNA
Rfam family: Bacterial small subunit ribosomal RNA
Source: RNAcentral